Anguilla rostrata (American eel) is the source of this 1040-nucleotide long non-coding RNA. RefSeq lists it as uncharacterized. The transcript is spliced from 3 exons. NCBI's taxonomy places the organism in Eukaryota, Metazoa, Chordata, Actinopteri, Anguilliformes, Anguillidae. The record is from RefSeq and is a predicted model, not a curated record.
ACAUAAGCCGCGUUUCCACCGCAGGAACUAUACCCCGGAACUAGGAACCUUUUGAGGAACUCAGUGCGUUUCCACCGCAGGAACUAGGGUCUAAAUUUAGUUCUGGGGGCUUUGUUUUACCCCCCAAAACGUUCCUGCUCGGGGGGUAGUACUUUCCGAAAGUACAGGAACCUUUUGGGUGGAGCUUGCAGCGCUGAACAUUUCUGAUUGGUCGAAUACUCGUAGCAUUUGUGUUGUAUUUAUUUUCCGCCAUUACCCGCCAUGUUUGAAAAUAUGCAGCGGCAAACCAAUUUAUUUUCAUAAUAACUUCAAAUCAAACUUGUAUGUUAUGCGGCGCAGUAGCCUACUUUUGGUUAUAGCCUGAAAAUUUUGAGAUUCCCCAUGAUUGUGAUGACGUCACAUGUCAAAGUUAGGGUAUUCCCAUCAUUGUUGAUCAAACUGGUUCCUCCAAACUCUCGAUGCUCCAUGGUAAAAGUACACCACAUAUGACUAUUCACUCAUAUAAUCAAUAUGUAAUCCAAUAAAGCUGUAUCAUUAGUUGCAGCUGAGCUUAUGGAAACGCAAGAAACCACAGUAUCAACUGUAUAAAAAAAGCAAAAGAAUGCAGAAGGCUUAAAAAAAACCACACUUACUCACUCAGCAGAAAACAUUAAUCAAAUACUAAUCAUACACUUAUAUUUUCAAACUGAUCAACUGCUAAUAAAUCUGCUAGAAGACUAAUAUUUUACAGUGACCCCUAUGUAACCUGAAUAUGGAAAAUUACAGGAGGCUGUGACUUGUAUUCUUAAUGGAAAAUUACAGAAUAAAGACUAAUGUUUUUUAAGGGAAAGUUGGGGUAACUUUCCACAAUGACGUUAUCACCCAAGAACAGGAAAUCAUUGUGGUGCCAAGAAGGUCAGAUGGUAUUUUAAGGAAUGUGUUAGGGGGAGUUAUGGGGAGCACAGUGUAUAAAAUGGAUGUAAAACUGACAAUCGAGGUUCAAUUCUGCAGAGUUGAUCCGGCUUUGUGCACCUGUGCAAAUAAAGUCUAACUUUUCUGAA